This 466-nucleotide ribosomal RNA is filed under the name uncultured bacterium. RNAcentral's name for it is "partial 16S ribosomal RNA". It matches the Rfam family "Bacterial small subunit ribosomal RNA", at positions 28 to 507 of the family's 1533-position model. The record is from RNAcentral.
GAUGAACGCUGGCGGCGUGCUUAACACAUGCAAGUCGAACGGAAAGGCUCCUGCUUGCAGGGGUACUCGAGUGGCGAACGGGUGAGUAACACGUGGGUGAUCUGCCCUGCACUUCGGGAUAAGCCUGGGAAACUGGGUCUAAUACCGGAUAGGACGAUGGUUUGGAUGCCAUUGUGGAAAGUUUUUUCGGUGUGGGAUGAGCUCGCGGCCUAUCAGCUUGUUGGUGGGGUAAUGGCCUACCAAGGCGUCGACGGGUAGCCGGCCUGAGAGGGUGUACGGCCACAUUGGGACUGAGAUACGGCCCAGACUCCUACGGGAGGCAGCAGUGGGGAAUAUUACACAAUGGACGCAAGCCUGAUGCAGCGACGCCGCGUGGGGGAUGACGGCCUUCGGGUUGUAAACUACUGUCGCUAGGGACGAAGCGCAAGUGACGGUACCUGGAGAAAAAGCACCGGCUAACUACGUG